UUACUUUUUAGCAUAUUGCUAAUUAAUUAUAAAUAUUCUAAUUUUAAUUUUUUUGUAUUACAAGUUAUUAACCAAAUAUAUUACUUUUAUGUUUUAACUAAUAUUUUUAUUCCUUUUUCAAUAUUAUUUAAUUAAAAUUGUCUCAAACAAAAAUAUUUUUACUUAUCUUAUUCAAAAAAAAAUUGUAAUACCCCUCACUCGUCCCAAUAGUCAGUACAAGCAUGAGACGCUAACAGGAUAUUUUCAGAGUAAAAUCAAUACUUUAUGUAAGAAAAUAAAUGAUAAAAUUUAUAAAAUUAUAUAAAAAUAUUUAAAUUCUAUCCAUAAUGAGUUUUGUUCCUUCAAAAAAAAAUCCAAAAAUCAUAUAGUGCCAAUUAAAACAAAAGAACUAGGUAAUUUGUAAAAUAUAAGGAUGUUACUUAAUUUAUUAAAGGAAUUUAUAAGAAAUUAAGUAAAACCAAAAGCAUUAACCGUACGUUAAGUUGCCGCCUAGGUGGUCAAAGCUCCCGCCUAAACGGUAUUGGAGUUAUUAGUUUUUCUUUUCGCUAAGGCAUGGCUCAGGCCACCGCCUAGGUGAUACUAACUAAAAGUGAUUGUUCGACAAGGACCCACCUAGGCGGCACUACAACCUUUCACAAGUUCACCCUUUCUUGAAUUGUAACUAAUUUCUUAAGCCUUCAACCACUAACCAUAACAAAAACCAAUCUUUGGGAUAUUAAAAGUCGCAUUUUAUUAGUCGAGAACAAACACUGAAACACCACAAACUAGACUUUUACAAACCACAUUCGAAAAAUAGAUCAAAAGUCACAAUCUACGCUCAUAUAACAUGUUCAAAAUGAGGUAUAACAUGUCAUAACAACCAAGAUAUUAAGCUAGCCUGUUAAACCUAUACAAAAUCAAUCUAAAGCAUGGAAAACCAAGGCUUGUAUACAUACAUUCAAAAGAUAUAAAGUUUGGCUCAAGGUCAAUAAAAAAUAAACAAAUUAGAACUAUUACAACUAAUAGUUAUAUGAAACAUUUAUAUAUGCAUCCCUAAAUGAGUUUUCUAAUACAUGCCACUAGGUAUCAAUUGUAAAUACAAAUAUUUCAUACCAUUCAAUGUUGAUAAUGGUGUUUGCUUGUGAUUCUCAAAAAGCACCAAGCUUUGAUUCAGAAGACCUACUCGAAAAAAUAAUGGCGCAUCAAGCAUAAAGCUUAGUAAGAUAAUAUGAAAAUUCCAUAUAUACUUACCUUUUAAACAAUAAAUCGAACUUUAUAAAUAAUUUGUAAAACAUUUGAAAAACAAUGCUCAUAAUAUCUAUUAAAAAAUUUAGAAAUCAGAAAACCUAAUUAGUUUUCAAAAUGACAGUCUAUAAAUAAUAACAUCUGUCAAGUUCAAGAAAUCAUUUAUAAAAUAACAAAAAUAGUUUGAUUUCAGCCCAUAGUAAGCCUAAAUAAAUAAAGAGGGGAUGUUAAGGACUAAUUGGCCAGAGCCACCAUAACAGAAACGCUGAAGCGUGAGUGUUCGAAAACCAGAUCAGAAUCGCACCAAAGUGCUAGUAACCGAAGUAUCGAAGUACUAAUAACAAAAUACCAUAGCACUAGUAACAGAAGUCCCCUAUUGUCAUGCCAAUAUCCAAACCAUUUUAACUAAGCUACUAGGGCCUUGUUUCAGAAUCUCUGGAAUGCCAAUGUUAAAAAUCUCUAACCAAGUUUAUAGUUUGAAACAAUAUUCGAGGCAGUAAACACUAUAUCAUGAAAUAAUAAUUUCAACCAUAGCAUUAAGUUACUAAAUCAAGUGUCAAACUCAUAUUAACUUAUCUACAAGAAACUUAACUUGAAAAUCAUUUACAAAAUUGUUUUCUUGUCAUUAAUCACACUUUCAUAGCAUUAAGACGUUUACAUACCAUAACAUAUUCAUAUUGAUAAUAAUAUCAAUUCAAUUAGAAGAAAUAUUAAUUCAAAAUAAGUAAAUUAAUGUGUUUUCCAAAUAUCUUAGAACACUAAAAUUUUCGAAAGUGUUGGAGAAGACUAAAUCUACCUUAAUUAACAAGCUUUUCCUUUCCCUUGCAAGCACCCUCCUUUCAUUCUUCAAUUUCUCUCAUGAACAAUAAAUAACCAUUAACACACAAUAAACAUGAGACUAAGCAUGGAUGAAAUGAAAACUAUAAAAUCUAUACAUGAAUACCUCUUUUCAACUUCCUAUUACAUUUUCUCACAUUAGGGCUCAAACCUUAAAACACUUGAAUGAUGGAAAUUAUGAGGGAUAAUGCUCAAUAAAGGUUUAAUGAUGAUGGAUUUAAAAGAAAUUGAUGGAAAGUGAUGAAAAAUGGUGAGAAUUAGUAGUAAGAGAAAUGAGUAAAGAAAAAGAUGAAGAAAUGUGGAGAACCUUCUCCCCCUUUUUAUGGUCGGCUGGUAUAGAAGGAAAAAGAUGAUGUUAUCAUCUUUCUUUUAACAUC
RNAcentral lists this long non-coding RNA (2438 nucleotides) under Gossypium barbadense (sea-island cotton). RNAcentral describes it as "long non-coding RNA (GBAR_LNC000580)". The record is from RNAcentral. Lineage: Eukaryota; Viridiplantae; Streptophyta; Magnoliopsida; Malvales; Malvaceae.